UAGAUGCGAGUCUUGGGUAAAACCAAGGCGCACUGCUCAGUAACACGUAGUUAAUCUACCCUUAGGCCCGGUCUAAUCCCGGGAAACUGGGGCCGAGGACCGGAUAGGUAAGGGGUACUGGAAUGUCCCCUUACUGAACUAAGGAUGAGACUGCGGCCCAUCAGGUUGUUGGGAGUGUAAAGUACUCUCAAGCCGAUAACGGGUACGGGCCUUGAGAGAGGAAGCCCGGAGUUGGAUUCUGAGACAUGAAUCCAGGCCCUACGGGGUGCAGCAAGCGCGAAACGUCCGCAAUGCCCGCAAGGGUGACGGCGGAAUUCGGAGUGCUUUCUCCGUUAGGAGGGAGCUUUUGUGGAGUCUAAAAAGCUCCACGAAUAAGUGGUGGGUAAGACGGGUGCCAGCCGCCGCGGUAAUACCCGCGCCACUAGUGGUGACCACUUAUAUUGGGCUUAAAGCGUUCGUAGCCGGCCUUGUAAGUUCCCGAUGAAAUCCCGCAGCUGACUGUGGGGCUUGUCGGGGAUACUGCAAGGCUUGGGACCGGGAGAGGUCAAGGGUAUUCCUGGGGUAGGAGUAAAAUCC
RNAcentral lists this ribosomal RNA (576 nucleotides) under uncultured archaeon. RNAcentral's name for it is "bacterial SSU rRNA". It matches the Rfam family "Archaeal small subunit ribosomal RNA", at positions 46 to 640 of the family's 1478-position model. The record is from RNAcentral.